RNAcentral lists this ribosomal RNA (1890 nucleotides) under Salmonella enterica. RNAcentral's name for it is "partial 23S ribosomal RNA". It matches the Rfam family "Bacterial large subunit ribosomal RNA", at positions 931 to 2803 of the family's 2925-position model. RNAcentral also lists the same sequence under 1 other name. Lineage: Bacteria; Pseudomonadati; Pseudomonadota; Gammaproteobacteria; Enterobacterales; Enterobacteriaceae. The record is from RNAcentral.
CCGGCUUACCAACCCGAUGCAAACUGCGAAUACCGGAGAAUGUUAUCACGGGAGACACACGGCGGGUGCUAACGUCCGUCGUGAAGAGGGAAACAACCCAGACCGCCAGCUAAGGUCCCAAAGUCAUGGUUAAGUGGGAAACGAUGUGGGAAGGCCCAGACAGCCAGGAUGUUGGCUUAGAAGCAGCCAUCAUUUAAAGAAAGCGUAAUAGCUCACUGGUCGAGUCGGCCUGCGCGGAAGAUGUAACGGGGCUAAACCAUGCACCGAAGCUGCGGCAGCGACACUGUGUGUUGUUGGGUAGGGGAGCGUUCUGUAAGCCUGUGAAGGUGUGUCGUGAGGCAUGCUGGAGGUAUCAGAAGUGCGAAUGCUGACAUAAGUAACGAUAAAGCGGGUGAAAAGCCCGCUCGCCGGAAGACCAAGGGUUCCUGUCCAACGUUAAUCGGGGCAGGGUGAGUCGACCCCUAAGGCGAGGCCGAAAGGCGUAGUCGAUGGGAAACGGGUUAAUAUUCCCGUACUUGGUGUUACUGCGAAGGGGGGACGGAGAAGGCUAUGUUGGCCGGGCGACGGUUGUCCCGGUUUAAGCGUGUAGGUGUGUGUUCCAGGUAAAUCCGGUUCACUUUAACACUGAGGCGUGACGACGAGGCACUACGGUGCUGAAGCAACAAAUGCCCUGCUUCCAGGAAAAGCCUCUAAGCAUCAGGUAACAUCAAAUCGUACCCCAAACCGACACAGGUGGUCAGGUAGAGAAUACCAAGGCGCUUGAGAGAACUCGGGUGAAGGAACUAGGCAAAAUGGUGCCGUAACUUCGGGAGAAGGCACGCUGACACGUAGGUGAAGUGAUUUACUCAUGGAGCUGAAGUCAGUCGAAGAUACCAGCUGGCUGCAACUGUUUAUUAAAAACACAGCACUGUGCAAACACGAAAGUGGACGUAUACGGUGUGACGCCUGCCCGGUGCCGGAAGGUUAAUUGAUGGGGUCAGCGCAAGCGAAGCUCCUGAUCGAAGCCCCGGUAAACGGCGGCCGUAACUAUAACGGUCCUAAGGUAGCGAAAUUCCUUGUCGGGUAAGUUCCGACCUGCACGAAUGGCGUAAUGAUGGCCAGGCUGUCUCCACCCGAGACUCAGUGAAAUUGAACUCGCUGUGAAGAUGCAGUGUACCCGCGGCAAGACGGAAAGACCCCGUGAACCUUUACUAUAGCUUGACACUGAACAUUGAGCCUUGAUGUGUAGGAUAGGUGGGAGGCUUUGAAGUGUGGACGCCAGUCUGCAUGGAGCCGACCUUGAAAUACCACCCUUUAAUGUUUGAUGUUCUAACGUGGACCCGUUACCCGGGUUGCGGACAGUGUCUGGUGGGUAGUUUGACUGGGGCGGUCUCCUCCUAAAGAGUAACGGAGGAGCACGAAGGUUGGCUAAUCCUGGUCGGACAUCAGGAGGUUAGUGCAAUGGCAUAAGCCAGCUUGACUGCGAGCGUGACGGCGCGAGCAGGUGCGAAAGCAGGUCAUAGUGAUCCGGUGGUUCUGAAUGGAAGGGCCAUCGCUCAACGGAUAAAAGGUACUCCGGGGAUAACAGGCUGAUACCGCCCAAGAGUUCAUAUCGACGGCGGUGUUUGGCACCUCGAUGUCGGCUCAUCACAUCCUGGGGCUGAAGUAGGUCCCAAGGGUAUGGCUGUUCGCCAUUUAAAGUGGUACGCGAGCUGGGUUUAGAACGUCGUGAGACAGUUCGGUCCCUAUCUGCCGUGGGCGCUGGAGAACUGAGGGGGGCUGCUCCUAGUACGAGAGGACCGGAGUGGACGCAUCACUGGUGUUCGGGUUGUCAUGCCAAUGGCACUGCCCGGUAGCUAAAUGCGGAAGAGAUAAGUGCUGAAAGCAUCUAAGCACGAAACUUGCCCCGAG